UCUCUACACAGGCAGGGACCUGGCUAUCACUCAUCCUUCUGGAUCACCCGGUGCUGGGUCAGCUGACCUCCAAAGCGCCAGGAUCUAAACUCAAGGGAAUUCAGCCCCUCUGGGUUUUACUGCCAGAUGUUAUGGAGAUUAGUCUUUCCUGUGUCAGCUCCCUCGUGUGAGGGCUCACUUUCUCUGCUCCUUCUGCAGGCAGCCAGCCUCCAACUUUCUGACCUUCCUAACCUUCCUGCUGCAGCUUCUAUUUAGGUGCGGAGUUUGUUGUGCCAGUCUUGGAUCCCUCUCUGGUUCAUGGACUUGGAUGUGGAUGUUAUGCAGUUGAAAACAUGGGACAGCGUGAGCUCAGGGUCUGCUUACUCUGCUAUUAUUAAUUUUUUAAGUGUAUUAUUUUGGAUUUUUGAGACAUGGGCAGACAGACUCAUCUCACCCUUGCACUUCAGGAUUAGAAAGGAACGUUCCCACAUUUGCUUCUAGCAUUUUAUGUUUUGAAACUCUCUUUAAUGAGGUAUAAUUUACAUAUAACAAAGAGCCUCAAAUUAAAGGGUAUAAUUUGAUGAAACUUGAUCUCAUGGAUACAGCACCAUGAAGUCCUAUGGUUGCUCUCUAAACCUUAAUCAUGAUCCCUUUGUGUCUAGAGCUAAUGUUGCUUUUGGAGUAAGGACUUUUUUUUUUUUUUUUACGUUUUCAGAUAUUGCCCAGGUGGCUGAGGCCUGCACUAGGGUACCUACCUCCUUUUCGGAUAGACUGUAUUCCCCUGUACCUGUGACACAGGACACGAGAGAAUGUGCUCAUGUGAACACAAGUGAAGGACACUCUCAAAGGUGUUCAUUCUUUAUCUAACCUAAGUAUUUUGGUGGUAAACACAAUUACCACUUGCUUAACAAGUGUAAAUUGGCGGCCUAUUUUUAUGUGAACAUUGCUUAAAGCAUUACAACUGAUGUCAUUAUGUCAAUAAAUUUGGUUUUAGUUUUCA
Molecule: long non-coding RNA, 979 nt
Filed under: Felis catus (domestic cat)
Lineage: Eukaryota; Metazoa; Chordata; Mammalia; Carnivora; Felidae
Description: lncRNA (ENSFCAG00000051384.1)
Source: RNAcentral